CAGCCGCCGCGGGAAUACGGAGGGUGCAAGCGUUAAUCGGAAUUACUGGGCGUAAAGCGCACGCAGGCGGUCUGACAAGUCAGAUGUGAAAUCCCCGGGCUUAACCUGGGAACUGCAUUUGAAACUGUCAGGCUGGAGUCUUGUAGAGGGGGGUGGAAUUCCAGGUGUAGCGGUGAAAUGCGUAGAGAUCUGGAGGAAUACCGGUGGCGAAGGCGGCCCCCUGGACAAAGACUGACGCUCAGGUGCGAAAGCGUGGGGAGCAAACAGGAUUAGAUACCCCUGUAGCCCUGUCUCUUAUACC
Molecule: ribosomal RNA, 301 nt
Filed under: uncultured bacterium
Lineage: Bacteria
Description: partial 16S ribosomal RNA
Rfam family: Bacterial small subunit ribosomal RNA
Source: RNAcentral